RNAcentral lists this long non-coding RNA (569 nucleotides) under Cucumis sativus (cucumber). RNAcentral describes it as "long non-coding RNA (CSAT_LNC002788)". The record is from RNAcentral. Lineage: Eukaryota; Viridiplantae; Streptophyta; Magnoliopsida; Cucurbitales; Cucurbitaceae.
UUGCAUCUCUACUGGGUGUCCAUACACCCUCGUGGAGUAAAACCAAAAGAAGGUGUCCUAAAUAAAGAAAAAGGUGGAUUUGUGUGAUUAUCUUUGGUAGGCUGGUCUGGCAAUGUGGAUUUCCGGGUCAUUAUGGGCUGAGUCUGCUCUGUAAUGCCACUAACAAAAUCGCCUUAUACUUUAUGCUUUCCUUUCUUCUUUUUCUUUUCUUUUUAGCUCUCAAAAUCACAGCUGAGGUCAUUUCCUUUCCGUACCCAAAGCCAAACCUUUUUUCUUUUCUUUUCUUUUUUUUUUUUUUUUAACUUUUUGGAAUAACAGUCAUGGCUGCCUUGCCCACGUCCGAAAGCACAAGUCUUUUGGAAUAAUUGAAUGGCCAUUUUGAUUUCUUCUCCUUUAGUAAAAGGCAUGUUAAAAAAAAUAAUAACAAUAAAGAAAGAAAAAAAAGAAACUGACUUUUUCUUCAACUUGGAUAUAUAGUCACUAUAAGGAUCAUCCCAUUUUGAUUUAUUCCUCCUCCUCAAUUCUCCCUAAUUAUGGUUUCCAGACAAGGUUUCUUUUCCUUUUGCCCC